Molecule: ribosomal RNA, 468 nt
Filed under: uncultured bacterium
Lineage: Bacteria
Description: partial 16S ribosomal RNA
Rfam family: Bacterial small subunit ribosomal RNA
Source: RNAcentral
GACGAACGCUGGCGGCGUGCUUAACACAUGCAAGUCGAAUGGAAAGGCCCUGCUUUUGUGGGGUGCUCGAGUGGCGAACGGGUGAGUAACACGUGAGUAACCUGCCCUUGACUUUGGGAUAACUUCAGGAAACUGGGGCUAAUACCGGAUAGGAGCUCCUGCUGCAUGGUGGGGGUUGGAAAGUUUCGGCGGUUGGGGAUGGACUCGCGGCUUAUCAGCUUGUUGGUGGGGUAGUGGCUUACCAAGGCUUUGACGGGUAGCCGGCCUGAGAGGGUGACCGGCCACAUUGGGACUGAGAUACGGCCCAGACUCCUACGGGAGGCAGCAGUGGGGAAUAUUGCACAAUGGGCGGAAGCCUGAUGCAGCAACGCCGCGUGCGGGAUGACGGCCUUCGGGUUGUAAACCGCUUUCGCCUGUGACGAAGCGUGAGUGGCGGUAAUGGGUAAAGAAGCACCGGCUAACUACGUG